ACGAACGCUGGCGGCGUGCUUAACACAUGCAAGUCGAACGAUGAAGCCCUAGCUUGCUGGGGUGGAAGAGUGGCGAACGGGUGAGUAACACGUGAGUAACCUGCCCUUAACUCUGGGAUAAGCGCUGGAAACGGCGUCUAAUACUGGAUAUGACCUGUCACCGCAUGGUGGUGGGUGGAAAGAUUUUUUGGUUUUGGAUGGACUCGCGGCCUAUCAGCUUGUUGGUGAGGUAAUGGCUCACCAAGGCGACGACGGGUAGCCGGCCUGAGAGGGUGACCGGCCACACUGGGACUGAGACACGGCCCAGACUCCUACGGGAGGCAGCAGUGGGGAAUAUUGCACAAUGGGCGAAAGCCUGAUGCAGCAACGCCGCGUGAGGGAUGACGGCCUUCGGGUUGUAAACCUCUUUUAGUAGGGAAGAAGCGUAAGUGACGGUACCUACAGAAAAAGCACCGGCUAACUACGUGCCAGCAGCCGCGGUAAUACGUAGGGUGCAAGCGUUGGCCGGAAUUAUUGGGGCGUAAAGAGCUCGUAGGCGGCUUGGUCGCGUCUGCUGUGAAAUCCCGAGGCUCAACCUCGGGUCUGCAGUGGGUACGGGCAGGCUAGAGUGCGGUAGGGGAGAUUGGAAUUCCUGGUGUAGCGGUGGAAUGCGCAGAUAUCAGGAGGAACACCGAUGGCGAAGGCAGAUCUCUGGGCCGCUACUGACGCUGAGGAGCGAAAGCAUGGGGAGCGAACAGGAUUAGAUACCCUGGUAGUCCAUGCCGUAAACGUUGGGAACUAGAUGUAGGGACCUUUCCACGGUUUCUGUGUCGUAGCUAACGCAUUAAGUUCCCCGCCUGGGGAGUACGGCCGCAAGGCUAAAACUCAAAGGAAUUGACGGGGGCCCGCACAAGCGGCGGAGCAUGCGGAUUAAUUCGAUGCAACGCGAAGAACCUUACCAAGGCUUGGCAUAUGCGAGAACACUGUAGAGAUACAGGACUCUUUGGACACUCGUAUACAGGUGGUGCAUGGUUGUCGUCAGCUCGUGUCGUGAGAUGUUCGGUUAAGUCCGGCAACGAGCGCAACCCUCGUCCUAUGUUGCCAGCGGGUUAUGCCGGGGACUCAUGGGAUACUGCCGUGGUCAACACGGAGGAAGGUGGGGAUGACGUCAAAUCAUCAUGCCCCUUAUGUCUUGGGCUUCACGCAUGCUACAAUGGCCGGUACAAUGGGCUGCGAUGCCGUAAGGUGGAGCGAAUCCCAAAAAGCCGGUCUCAGUUCGGAUUGGGGUCUGCAACUCGACCCCAUGAAGUCGGAGUCGCUAGUAAUCGCAGAUCAGCAACGCUGCGGUGAAUACGUUCCCGGGCCUUGUACACACCGCCC
This 1359-nucleotide ribosomal RNA is filed under the name uncultured bacterium. Its description in RNAcentral is "bacterial SSU rRNA". It matches the Rfam family "Bacterial small subunit ribosomal RNA", at positions 29 to 1395 of the family's 1533-position model. The record is from RNAcentral.